AUUAAGGCCCUCUGGGUUGUAAACUCCUUUUAUCUGGGAAGAAAUGUUUCGAUUCUUCGGAACUUGACGGUACCAGAGGAAUAAGCACCGGCUAACUCCGUGC
RNAcentral lists this ribosomal RNA (103 nucleotides) under uncultured bacterium. RNAcentral's name for it is "partial 16S ribosomal RNA". It matches the Rfam family "Bacterial small subunit ribosomal RNA", at positions 408 to 508 of the family's 1533-position model. The record is from RNAcentral.